RNAcentral lists this transfer RNA (73 nucleotides) under Fusarium floridanum. Its description in RNAcentral is "Fusarium sp. AF-3 tRNA-Ser". It matches the Rfam family "tRNA". Rfam says of the family: Transfer RNA (tRNA) molecules are approximately 80 nucleotides in length. Their secondary structure includes four short double-helical elements and three loops (D, anti-codon, and T loops). The record is from RNAcentral. Lineage: Eukaryota; Fungi; Ascomycota; Sordariomycetes; Hypocreales; Nectriaceae.
CCCCCCAUGGCGGAGUGGUGACCGCUGGGUGAUCUCUCUUCGGAGGCUGCAGGUUCGACCCCUGCUGGGGGCC